RNAcentral lists this ribosomal RNA (1436 nucleotides) under uncultured organism. RNAcentral describes it as "16S ribosomal RNA". It matches the Rfam family "Bacterial small subunit ribosomal RNA". The record is from RNAcentral.
ACGCUAGCUACAGGCUUAACACAUGCAAGUCGAGGGGCAUCAGGAAGAAAGCUUGCUUUCUUUGCUGGCGACCGGCGCACGGGUGAGUAACACGUAUCCAACCUGCCCUUUACUCGGGGAUAGCCUUUCGAAAGAAAGAUUAAUACCCGAUGGCAUAAUGAUUCCGCAUGGUUUCAUUAUUAAAGGAUUCCGGUAAAGGAUGGGGAUGCGUUCCAUUAGGUUGUUGGUGAGGUAACGGCUCACCAAGCCUUCGAUGGAUAGGGGUUCUGAGAGGAAGGUCCCCCACAUUGGAACUGAGACACGGUCCAAACUCCUACGGGAGGCAGCAGUGAGGAAUAUUGGUCAAUGGGCGCUAGCCUGAACCAGCCAAGUAGCGUGAAGGAUGAAGGCUCUAUGGGUCGUAAACUUCUUUUAUAUAAGAAUAAAGUGCAGUAUGUAUACUGUUUUGUAUGUAUUAUAUGAAUAAGGAUCGGCUAACUCCGUGCCAGCAGCCGCGGUAAUACGGAGGAUCCGAGCGUUAUCCGGAUUUAUUGGGUUUAAAGGGAGCGUAGGUGGACUGGUAAGUCAGUUGUGAAAGUUUGCGGCUCAACCGUAAAAUUGCAGUUGAUACUGUCAGUCUUGAGUACAGUAGAGGUGGGCGGAAUUCGUGGUGUAGCGGUGAAAUGCUUAGAUAUCACGAAGAACUCCGAUUGCGAAGGCAGCUCACUGGACUGCAACUGACACUGAUGCUCGAAAGUGUGGGUAUCAAACAGGAUUAGAUACCCUGGUAGUCCACACAGUAAACGAUGAAUACUCGCUGUUUGCGAUAUACAGUAAGCGGCCAAGCGAAAGCAUUAAGUAUUCCACCUGGGGAGUACGCCGGCAACGGUGAAACUCAAAGGAAUUGACGGGGGCCCGCACAAGCGGAGGAACAUGUGGUUUAAUUCGAUGAUACGCGAGGAACCUUACCCGGGCUUAAAUUGCAGUGGAAUGAUGUGGAAACAUGUCAGUGAGCAAUCACCGCUGUGAAGGUGCUGCAUGGUUGUCGUCAGCUCGUGCCGUGAGGUGUCGGCUUAAGUGCCAUAACGAGCGCAACCCUUAUCUUUAGUUACUAACAGGUUAUGCUGAGGACUCUAGAGAGACUGCCGUCGUAAGAUGUGAGGAAGGUGGGGAUGACGUCAAAUCAGCACGGCCCUUACGUCCGGGGCUACACACGUGUUACAAUGGGGGGUACAGAAGGCAGCUAGCGGGUGACCGUAUGCUAAUCCCAAAAUCCUCUCUCAGUUCGGAUCGAAGUCUGCAACCCGACUUCGUGAAGCUGGAUUCGCUAGUAAUCGCGCAUCAGCCACGGCGCGGUGAAUACGUUCCCGGGCCUUGUACACACCGCCCGUCAAGCCAUGGGAGCCGGGGGUACCUGAAGUACGUAACCGCAAGGAUCGUCCUAGGGUAAAACUGGU